AAUCGAUUGCCUGAGACCUCUGGAAUUUCAACUGAAGGCAGAAGGAUAAUUGAUUAUCAACGGUAAAAUUUAAAUUUUGUGACCGUUUUAUUACCGUUUGAAAGCCAAAAAUUCAGCUCUUUUAAUUGCUCAAGGGUCUUCAAGACCUCUUCACUAUAAAUAGGUGAAAUCCUUUGACUAUCCUCACAUCACAAGCAAUUUCCUCUCAAAAUUCACUUCAAAAAACUCAUAAAUCGUUGCAAAUUUUCUGUUGCUCUUCAUAAAAUGGCUGGUAAAAGCUCAAAAAGAGCACGCUCCGGAAAGAACGUUGCCUCAUCUUCCGUUCCUCCUCCUCCGUCUGUCCAUAACUACAAGGA
This 356-nucleotide long non-coding RNA is filed under the name Nicotiana benthamiana. RNAcentral describes it as "long non-coding RNA (NBEN_LNC015263)". The record is from RNAcentral. Lineage: Eukaryota; Viridiplantae; Streptophyta; Magnoliopsida; Solanales; Solanaceae.